This 479-nucleotide ribosomal RNA is filed under the name uncultured bacterium. RNAcentral's name for it is "partial 16S ribosomal RNA". It matches the Rfam family "Bacterial small subunit ribosomal RNA", at positions 28 to 507 of the family's 1533-position model. The record is from RNAcentral.
GAUGAACGCUGGCGGCGUGCUUAACACAUGCAAGUUGAGCGAAGCGCUUACGACAGAACCUUCGGGGGGAGAUGUAAGGGACUGAGCGGCGGACGGGUGAGUAACGCGUGGGUAACCUGCCUCAUACAGGGGGAUAACAGUUGGACACGGCUGCUAAUACCGCAUAAGCGCACAGUAUCGCAUGUUACGGUGUGAAAAACUGCGGUGGUAUGAGAUGGACCCGCGUCAGAUUAGCUACUUGGAGGGGGAACGGCCCACCAAUGCCACGAAGAGUAGCCGGGCGGGUGGGGGGAACGGCCACAUUGGGACUGAGACACAGCCCAGACCCCGACGGGAGGGAGCAGUAGAGAAUAUUACACACGGGGGGAAACCGUAAUGCAGCGACGCCGCGGAAAAGAAGAAGUAGGUCGGUAUGUGAACUUCUAUCAGAAGGGGAGAAAGUGACGGUACCGGACUAAGAAGCCCCGGCUAACUACGUG